ACGAGUGAGUGCGAACGGGUGAGUAACACGUGGGUAACCUGCCCAGAAGUAGGGGAUAACACCUGGAAACAGAUGCUAAUACCGUAUAACAGAGAAAACCGCAUGGUUUUCUUUUAAAAGAUGGCUCUGCUAUCACUUCUGGAUGGACCCGCGGCGUAUUAGCUAGUUGGUGAGGUAAAGGCUCACCAAGGCAGUGAUACGUAGCCGACCUGAGAGGGUAAUCGGCCACAUUGGGACUGAGACACGGCCCAGACUCCUACGGGAGGCAGCAGUAGGGAAUCUUCCACAAUGGACGAAAGUCUGAUGGAGCAACGCCGCGUGAGUGAAGAAGGGUUUCGGCUCGUAAAGCUCUGUUGUUAAAGAAGAACGUGGGUAAGAGUAACUGUUUACCCAGUGACGGUAUUUAACCAGAAAGCCACGGCUAACUACGUGCCAGCAGCCGCGGUAAUACGUAGGUGGCAAGCGUUAUCCGGAUUUAUUGGGCGUAAAGCGAGCGCAGGCGGUCUUUUAAGUCUAAUGUGAAAGCCUUCGGCUCAACCGAAGAAGUGCAUUGGAAACUGGGAGACUUGAGUGCAGAAGAGGACAGUGGAACUCCAUGUGUAGCGGUGAAAUGCGUAGAUAUAUGGAAGAACACCAGUGGCGAAGGCGGCUGUCUGGUCUGCAACUGACGCUGAGGCUCGAAAGCAUGGGUAGCGAACAGGAUUAGAUACCCUGGUAGUCCAUGCCGUAAACGAUGAUUACUAAGUGUUGGAGGGUUUCCGCCCUUCAGUGCUGCAGCUAACGCAUUAAGUAAUCCGCCUGGGGAGUACGACCGCAAGGUUGAAACUCAAAAGAAUUGACGGGGGCCCGCACAAGCGGUGGAGCAUGUGGUUUAAUUCGAAGCUACGCGAAGAACCUUACCAGGUCUUGACAUCUUCUGACAGUCUAAGAGAUUAGAGGUUCCCUUCGGGGACAGAAUGACAGGUGGUGCAUGGUGUCGUCAGCU
RNAcentral lists this ribosomal RNA (985 nucleotides) under Pediococcus pentosaceus. Its description in RNAcentral is "bacterial SSU rRNA". It matches the Rfam family "Bacterial small subunit ribosomal RNA", at positions 88 to 1060 of the family's 1533-position model. The record is from RNAcentral. Lineage: Bacteria; Bacillati; Bacillota; Bacilli; Lactobacillales; Lactobacillaceae.